Bubalus bubalis (water buffalo) is the source of this 102-nucleotide small nuclear RNA. The record is from RefSeq and is a predicted model, not a curated record. Lineage: Eukaryota; Metazoa; Chordata; Mammalia; Artiodactyla; Bovidae.
GUGCUCCCUUUACCAGCACACAUACAAUACUGAAACAAUACAGAGUUUAGCAUGGUCCUAUGCAAAUAUGACCCCCAAAUUCAUGAAGUGUCACAUUUUUUU